GACGAACGCUUGCGGCGUGCCUAAGAAAUGCAAGUCGAGCGAGCUCAAGCCUUCGGGCUGAAAGCUAGCGGCGAACGGUCGAGUAACACGUGAGCAACCUGCCCCAAAGCGGGGGAUAGCCCACCGAAAGGUGGAUUAAUACCGCAUGUGAUCCGCACCUGGCAUCUGGUGUUGAUUAAAGCAGCAAUGCGCUUUGGGAUGGGCUCGCGGCCUAUCAGUUUGUUGGUGGGGUGAUGGCCUACCAAGACGACGACGGGUAGCUGGUCUGAGAGGAUGGUCAGCCGGAUUGGGACUGAGAUACGGCCCAGACACCUACGGGUGGCUG
RNAcentral lists this ribosomal RNA (325 nucleotides) under uncultured Armatimonadota bacterium. RNAcentral describes it as "bacterial SSU rRNA". It matches the Rfam family "Bacterial small subunit ribosomal RNA", at positions 28 to 351 of the family's 1533-position model. The record is from RNAcentral. Lineage: Bacteria; Bacillati; Armatimonadota.